AACGAACGCUGGCGGCAGGCCUAACACAUGCAAGUCGAACGCCGUAGCAAUACGGAGUGGCAGACGGGUGAGUAACGCGUGGGAACAUACCCUCCGGUUCGGAAUAACUCAGGGAAACUUGAGCUAAUACCGGAUACGUCCAAGGUUUUAAUCGGCCUUGGAGAAAGAUUUAUCGCUGGAGGAUUGGCCCGCGUCUGAUUAGCUUGUUGGUGAGGUAAUGGCUCACCAAGGCGACGAUCAGUAGCUGGUCUGAGAGGACGACCAGUCACACUGGAACUGAGACACGGUCCAGACACCUACGGGUGGCAGCAGUCGAGAAUUUUCUCAAUGGGGGCAACCCUGAAGGAGCGACGCCGCGUGGAGGAUGAAGGCUUUC
Molecule: ribosomal RNA, 376 nt
Filed under: uncultured bacterium
Lineage: Bacteria
Description: bacterial SSU rRNA
Rfam family: Bacterial small subunit ribosomal RNA
Source: RNAcentral